Molecule: transfer RNA, 75 nt
Filed under: Pontibacillus sp. ALD_SL1
Lineage: Bacteria; Bacillati; Bacillota; Bacilli; Caryophanales; Bacillaceae
Description: tRNA-Arg
Rfam family: tRNA
About the family: Transfer RNA (tRNA) molecules are approximately 80 nucleotides in length. Their secondary structure includes four short double-helical elements and three loops (D, anti-codon, and T loops).
Source: RNAcentral
GCCCACGUAGUGUAAAGGAUAACACAUGAGAUUUCGGCUCUCAGAAUAUGGGUUCGAUUCCUGUCGUGGGCGCCA